Molecule: ribosomal RNA, 287 nt
Filed under: uncultured bacterium
Lineage: Bacteria
Description: partial 16S ribosomal RNA
Rfam family: Bacterial small subunit ribosomal RNA
Source: RNAcentral
GUGGAUUAGAUACCCUGGUAGUCCACGCCGUAAACGAUGGGUACUAGGUGUAGGAGGUAUCGACCCCUUCUGUGCCGCCGUUAACACAAUAAGUACCCCGCCUGGGGAGUACGGUCGCAAGACUAAAACUCAAAGGAAUUGACGGGGGCCCGCACAAGCAGCGGAGCAUGUGGUUUAAUUCGAAGCAACGCGAAGAACCUUACCUAGACUUGACAUCUCCUGAAUUACCCUUAAUCGGGGAAGCCCUUCGGGGCAGGAAGACAGGUGGUGCACGGCUGUCGACAACU